This 484-nucleotide ribosomal RNA is filed under the name uncultured freshwater bacterium. Its description in RNAcentral is "bacterial SSU rRNA". It matches the Rfam family "Bacterial small subunit ribosomal RNA", at positions 8 to 538 of the family's 1533-position model. The record is from RNAcentral.
AGAGUUUGAUCCUGGCUCAGAACGAACGCUGGCGGCAGGCCUAACACAUGCAAGUCGAACGGGAUCUUCGGAUCUAGUGGCGGACGGGUGAGUAACGCGUGGGAACGUGCCCUUUGGUUCGGAAUAGCCCUGGGAAACUGGGAGUAAUACCGGAUGUGCCCUUCGGGGGAAAGAUUUAUCGCCAAAGGAUCGGCCCGCGUUGGAUUAGGUAGUUGGUGGGGUAAUGGCCUACCAAGCCGACGAUCCAUAGCUGGUUUGAGAGGAUGAUCAGCCACACUGGGACUGAGACACGGGCCAGACUCCUACGGGAGGCAGCAGUGGGGAAUCUUAGACAAUGGGGGAAACCCUGAUCUAGCCAUGCCGCGUGAGCGAUGAAGGCCUUAGGGUUGAAAAGCUCUUUCGUGGGGGAAGAUAAUGACUGUACCCCAAGAAGAAGCCCCGGGUAACUCCGUGCCAGAAGACGUGGUAAUACGGAGGGGGCUAG